RNAcentral lists this ribosomal RNA (479 nucleotides) under uncultured bacterium. RNAcentral's name for it is "partial 16S ribosomal RNA". It matches the Rfam family "Bacterial small subunit ribosomal RNA", at positions 28 to 507 of the family's 1533-position model. The record is from RNAcentral.
GACGAACGCUGGCGGCGCGCUUAACACAUGCAAGUCGAGCGAUGAAAUUUCGACAGAUCCCUUCGGGGUGAAGAUGAAAUGGAUUAGCGGCGGACGGGUGAGUAACACGUGAGUAACCUGCCUUUGACAUUGGGAUAGCCUCGGGAAACUGGGAUUAAUACCAAAUGACACUAACUGAUCACAUGAUCAAUUAGUCAAAGAAAUUCGGUCAAAGAUGGACUCGCGGCUGAUUAGCUAGUUGGUGAGGUAACGGCCCACCAAGGCGACGAUCAGUAGCCGGGCUGGGAGGGUGAUCGGCCACAUUGGAACUGCGACACGGUCCAAACUCCUACGGGAGGCAGCAGUGGGGAAUAUUGCACAAUGGGGGAAACCCUGAUGCAGCGACGCCGCGUGAGCGAAGAAGGCCUUCGGGUCGUAAAGCUCUUUUAUGAGGGAAGAUAAUGACGGUACCUCAAGAAAAAGCCCCGGCUAACUACGUG